RNAcentral lists this unclassified non-coding RNA (163 nucleotides) under soil metagenome. RNAcentral's name for it is "partial internal transcribed spacer 1". The record is from RNAcentral.
GUGAAUUGAAUAUGUUAGCGGACCUCUUCGGAGUCCCUAGCAUCAAAUCAUAUCCAUAACACCUGUGAACUGUAAGGCUGUCUUGAAAACGAAAGUGAUUAGAGCGCCUGCCCAUUUUAUACAAACAUUAAAGUAACAAACAUAGUCUUAUUAUAAUCUAAUA